Molecule: long non-coding RNA, 363 nt
Organism: Lemur catta (Ring-tailed lemur)
Lineage: Eukaryota; Metazoa; Chordata; Mammalia; Primates; Lemuridae
Exons: 4
Source: RefSeq, a predicted model, not a curated record
UAGACGUUGAUAGGAUAGGGUACCCGGGAGAACUAGGUAGAGGAGUUUGGGGUCGGGGUGCGGAAAGGCGGGAGGCACCCUGCCGCUUUAGGAGCCCAGCGCGGGGCACGAUGGGACGCCCCCAGGAAGGGGCGGAGCCGUGUUCGACCGCUGGGCCUGCGGUUGGGAAACUACUGGAGGAUGUGGUGCACCAAAACAAGAGAACAAACCAAGAAACAGGAAGACAUGUGAUCCAGGAAACAGGAUAUUUAACAUAGAAGUGCAAGCUAAUAAACAUUAAGCAGGAAGAGAACAUCCAGGUAUGUUCACAACACAGAGAAGCUACUCAGUAAAUAUUGUUGAAUUAAAGAUGAACAAAAUCAA